UACGGAGGAUCCGAGCGUUAUCCGGAUUUAUUGGGUUUAAAGGGUGCGCAGGCGGAAAUGUAAGUCAGUGGUGAAAUCCUGCAGCUUAACUGUAGAAUAGCCGUUGAAACUGUGUUUCUUGAGUACAUUUGAGGUAGGCGGAAUGUGGUGUGUAGCGGUGAAAUGCAUAGAUAUACCACAGAACACCGAUUGCGAAGGCAGCUUACUAAACUGUCACUGACGCUGAUGCACGAAAGCGUGGGUAUCAAACAGGAUUA
Molecule: ribosomal RNA, 257 nt
Filed under: uncultured prokaryote
Description: partial 16S ribosomal RNA
Rfam family: Bacterial small subunit ribosomal RNA
Source: RNAcentral